UCAUUUAUGAUGAUUUAAAAUAUCGUAAAUACAUAACUUAUACAUAUACACUAGAAACAUACAUAAACUUUUUAAAAAAGAAACGUGCGAUAUCUCUUCUUCCUCAUAGCCUAGCCUGCUAGCCAAGUUAUGCUCUAUCACUAUGUAAUUCUCAUCUUUCAUGGCUUUUGACUCAACUCAAACAGGUAUCCAAUAGUAAUUCUCUCUUCAUACGCCACUCAAAUAGGAGUGCAAAGCAAGGAGUUAUUUGUGGAAAUCUUUGUGAGGAUCAAACCAAAGUUCACAAGCAUCAAAUUGAAAGCUCGAUUCAGAAAUGUAGCUCGGAUACGCAAAGAGUAUGUCUGAAAUUCCAAAUGAAGAAGACAGGAAAGAGCAGAGGAGAGAGAGGGGUCGAAGAAAAACUUGAGCAAGCAUGGAAAGAGAAAGUGGAGAUGAGCUUAAUAAAAAAGAUGAUGGCCUUGUUUAGUUGUUAGAGUUUAGAGUUUGAUGUUAGUGUUUUAACUUUUUGUGUACCUGAUUUGACGACUUUUUUUAUAGAUGUGUUUGGUAACAAUUAACUAAUUGUUAAUAGCUUAGUGUUAUUUGUUUGUGUGAAAAGACAUUUAUAGACAUUUUAAUACACAUGUGUAGUAUUAUUUUUA
Beta vulgaris subsp. vulgaris (sugar beet) is the source of this 641-nucleotide long non-coding RNA. RefSeq lists it as uncharacterized. The record is from RefSeq and is a predicted model, not a curated record. The transcript is spliced from 2 exons. Lineage: Eukaryota; Viridiplantae; Streptophyta; Magnoliopsida; Caryophyllales; Amaranthaceae.